RNAcentral lists this transfer RNA (67 nucleotides) under Dolichovespula panda. Its description in RNAcentral is "tRNA-His". Lineage: Eukaryota; Metazoa; Arthropoda; Insecta; Hymenoptera; Vespidae. The record is from RNAcentral.
AUUUAAAUAGUUUAAGAAAUAAAAAUAUUAGUUUGUGGAACUAAAGAUAUAAAAUUUAUUUUAAAUU